GGUGUCAGGGUCAAAAGGUCGAAAAGCCGUUCAUGCUUGCAUGAUAAGGCUUUUGAACUUGUGACCCGCUAAACAUGAGGAAGUAGCGAUUUGCGUAGCAAAUCAGCGGAUUCCGAAUGUUUACAGAAUUGCGUGAGCAGCUUGCUGCGAAGCAAUUCGUUG
RNAcentral lists this small RNA (162 nucleotides) under uncultured Acetatifactor sp. RNAcentral's name for it is "Clostridiales-1 RNA". It matches the Rfam family "Clostridiales-1 RNA". The record is from RNAcentral. Lineage: Bacteria; Bacillati; Bacillota; Clostridia; Lachnospirales; Lachnospiraceae.